AUCGCUUCUCGGCCUUUUGGCUAAGAUCAAGUGUAAAAAUAUAUAUAAUUUAUUUUAUGUUCCUUGCUGUUUUGCCUGCAGGUAGAUGUGUGUGAGGGUAUCAGGUGCCCUGGUACUACAGUUACAGACAGGUCUGACCUGCCAUGUG
This is a small nuclear RNA of Rattus norvegicus (Norway rat), 148 nucleotides long. Ensembl annotates it as U2 spliceosomal RNA. The record is from Ensembl. Lineage: Eukaryota; Metazoa; Chordata; Mammalia; Rodentia; Muridae.